Molecule: ribosomal RNA, 482 nt
Filed under: uncultured bacterium
Lineage: Bacteria
Description: bacterial SSU rRNA
Rfam family: Bacterial small subunit ribosomal RNA
Source: RNAcentral
UGCAAGUCGAACGCAAUCUUUUAACAAUGAGUGCUUGCACUCAGCGUUUUAAGUGCGAGUGGCGAACGGGUGAGUAACACGUGGGCAAUCUGCCCAAAAGUGGGGGAUAACACUUGGAAACAGGUGCUAAUACCGCAUCAACCGGCUGACCGCAUGGUCGGCCGGGCAAAGACGGCGUCAGCUGUCGCUUUUGGAUGAGCCCGCGGCGUAUUAACUAGUUGGUAAGGUAACGGCUUACCAAGGCGAUGAUGCAUAGCCGAGUUGAGAGACUGAUCGGCCACAAUGGGACUGAGACACGGCCCAUACUCCUACGGGAGGCAGCAGUAGGGAAUCUUCCACAAUGGGCGCAAGCCUGAUGGAGCAACGCCGCGUGUGUGAUGAAGGGUUUCGGCUCGUAAAACACUGUUGCCGGGGAAGAACAAGUGCCGUUCGAACAGGGCGGCGCCUUGACGGUACCCGGCCAGAAAGCCACGGCUAACUAC